AAGAGAAAGAGAUCGUCAUUCCGUGAUUUGAUACCGGUCUAUCUCAUCGAUGAGCACUUUAUUAUUUAGUGACUCAUGACAUAGUUAGACAGUCAAACUCAAUGACGUUUUUUCUGCCGGUCUUCGUCUACCGGAUUAACGUGAAAAAACAUCAUUGAUGUGUUAAGGGACUUGGUGGUGAUAGAGUUCUAUUUUUAU
Small nucleolar RNA from Caenorhabditis elegans, 198 nucleotides. The record is from Ensembl. Lineage: Eukaryota; Metazoa; Nematoda; Chromadorea; Rhabditida; Rhabditidae.